This 29-nucleotide non-coding RNA is filed under the name Rattus norvegicus (Norway rat). Lineage: Eukaryota; Metazoa; Chordata; Mammalia; Rodentia; Muridae. The record is from RNAcentral.
UGAAAACCCAUCAGAUUUUUCUCCUUAGA